Molecule: transfer RNA, 72 nt
Filed under: Pelodiscus sinensis (Chinese soft-shelled turtle)
Lineage: Eukaryota; Metazoa; Chordata; Testudines; Trionychidae
Rfam family: tRNA
About the family: Transfer RNA (tRNA) molecules are approximately 80 nucleotides in length. Their secondary structure includes four short double-helical elements and three loops (D, anti-codon, and T loops).
Source: Rfam by way of RNAcentral
GGCUUGUUGGUGUAGUGGCUGGACUCUUACUUGGGGUGUAAGAGGUCCUGAGUUCAAAUCACAGACAUGCCC